AGGGAAUAGAUACCCUGGUAGUCCUGGCCAUAAACGAUGAACACUAGGUGUAGGAGGCUUCGACCCCUCUGCGCCGCCGCUAAACGCAUUAAGUGUUCCGCCUGGGGAGGUACGGCCGCAAGGUUAAAAACUACAAAGGAAAUUGACGGGGGCCCGGCCACAAGACAGUGGAGCAUGUGGUUUAAAAUUUCGAUGCUACGCGAAAAAACCUUAACCCUAGGGUUUGUACAUCCCACGUGUAAAUCCCCUACGAAAAUAAGGGGACCCCGUUCCGGUCGACUGGUGACAGGUGGGUGCAUGGUUGUCGUCAGCUCGUGCCGUGA
Molecule: ribosomal RNA, 323 nt
Filed under: uncultured bacterium
Lineage: Bacteria
Description: bacterial SSU rRNA
Rfam family: Bacterial small subunit ribosomal RNA
Source: RNAcentral